RNAcentral lists this ribosomal RNA (903 nucleotides) under Nectria inventa. RNAcentral's name for it is "LSU rRNA". It matches the Rfam family "Eukaryotic large subunit ribosomal RNA", at positions 38 to 966 of the family's 3401-position model. Lineage: Eukaryota; Fungi; Ascomycota; Sordariomycetes; Hypocreales; Nectriaceae. The record is from RNAcentral.
GCAUAUCAAUAAGCGGAGGAAAAGAAACCAACAGGGAUUGCCUCAGUAACGGCGAGUGAAGCGGCAACAGCUCAAAUUUGAAAUCUGGCUCUUUCAGGGUCCGAAUUGUAAUUUGCAGAGGAUGCUUUGGGUGCGGGCGCCUUCCGAGUUCCCUGGAACGGGACGCCAUAGAGGGUGAGAGCCCCGUCUGGUAGGAUGCCCAGCCCGUGUAAAGCUCCCUCGACGAGUCGAGUAGUUUGGGAAUGCUGCUCUAAGGGGAGGUAUACUCCUUCCAAAGCUAAAUACCGGCUGGAGACCGAUAGCGCACAAGUAGAGUGAUCGAAAGAUGAAAAGCACUUUGAAAAGAGAGUCAAAUAGCACGUGAAAUUGUUGAAAGGGAAGCGCUCGCUACCAGACUUGGGUACGCGGUUCCGUAGGUGCUCCGCACCUGCGUACUCCUCGUGCCCAGGCCAGCAUCAGUUCUUCGUCGGGUUAAAAGGCUUCGGGAAUGUGGCUCGCCUCGGUGAGUGUUAUAGCCCGUUGUGUCAUGCCCGGUGGGGGACUGAGGUACGCGCUCCGCAAGGAUGCUGGCGUAAUGGUAGCUAGUGACCCGUCUUGAAACACGGACCAAGGAGUCAACCUUAUGUGCAAGUGCCCGGGCGUAAAACCCCAGCGCGGAAUGAAAGUGAACGUAGGUGAGAGCUUCGGCGCAUCACCGACCGAUCCUGAUGUCCUCGGACGGAUUUGAGUGUGAGCAUAUAGGGUUGGACCCGAAAGAAGAUGAACUAUGCGUGUGUAGGGUGAAGCCAGAGGAAACUCUGGUGGAGGCUCGCAGCGGUUCUGACGUGCAAAUCGAUCGUCAAACAUGCGCAUGGGGGGCGAAAGACUAAUCGAAUCUUCUGGGUAGCUGGGUUUCCGCCGAAG